UCUGCCUCUUUUUGAGUGGCGAGUACAACACAGCAUAGGGAAAAUGGGGUUUUUGAAAAAUCUCCUCCCUGGAAUCAGUUUUUCAAAAGCAUCGUUUGUAGUGAUCUGAAACGCCAUUUUGGUGUGGAUGCGAGGCCAAAACGCAGAGAAAAUACUACAUUUAAUCAUCUGGCUACUUGAAACAAUCAGGAAAAUGUCUAGAGUUCAAAUAAUUGGUCUUUCUAAUCUUUGGCUUUUGCUCGGCCUAGACCACCACAAGACUAAAAAAGAGUUAAGGUCACGAGGUGCUGUUCCAUUGAAAUGUGGGCAUGUGAAUUAGGACCCCGUGUGCUGUCCAGACGGCUGUUUGCACAGCUGUCAGGGCUCCCUGCUCCCCCAGUGGACAUAACAGAAGUUGACAACACAGAGCUGUGUAAUCACCUGGACAAGCCUCAACUUUUAGAUCCAAAGGGCAGAGACCAUUGAAGAUGCCCACACAGCCAUGGUGGAGGCAUCACACAGCCUCCACAUGCUUGGUGCAUUAUCCAGGGUUUCCGACCUACAGGAAAGGGAUGACCUGGUCCAGGCGGCCCUAACCUUUUAUGUGAAGGGACGGUUGGAGAUGUCCCUGAAACAAUGGAGAUGCAGAAGAUGGUGGGGACCUCAUUGAAGUUACCUGGAGGAUGUGCUAGUGUUUGCUUCCAGGGCAUCCACCAUACCUGCUUUUGAUUUUAGAAAGAUUCCAACAAUCAGGUUUCUCCAUGACGACCUGAAUGGCAUCAGGUGGAUGUUCCCAGAAGCAAACACCUGCGCCAUUAUUUUGAAGCUGCCCGUAGGUCAUGACUAUGAGGACUUCUGUCACUUAUGACUUCGGGGAUCAUUAAGUCCCCGAUGUUUGGGGUAGCCUAAUGCAGCACCCCUUUCCGCCCCACCAACCACAUGAUAACGUGCUCUCGCUCGCUGUCACUCACUCCUGCGCUGCCUUCUGCCAAUCAGAGCACGGCUGAUUGCUCCCCCACCGGCCCACUCCUCUUGGAGGCAUGUCUUGUUUGAUAUUGUUGUAUUGAUUGUUUGUUAUAUUCAAAAAUUAAUUUGUUAAUGGUUAAUGUCUAUAAACAUUUAAAUGAUGACCUAAAACUUGACUGUCUGUUAUUCUUCCUACCAAAGACAAACUUCAGUCUAAUAUGAUAUUGGUUAACCCUUAUAUUAGUAUUGUAUACAUGACUUUAUGCCAUAGCUUUGGUCAGGUUUUAUAGGAUAUAACUGCAGUGGUGAAAGUAGAUUUGCCUUCUAACUGGUGAUGUCAAUCUGUUCGCUAGCAACAGAAUUCCAGUAAAACUGUCUAUACGCACAACACAGACUGCGUGAAUAACUGGAGCAAUAUGGAAUGAAGAUCAUGGACUUUAAAAACCACAUUCCCUGAAUGAUGGAAAAAUAUUGUUAAUGUCAUUUUCACAUUUCUGGAACAAACUGGUCUAAUUCACAGGAUUUAAAGAUUUAGUAUAGCAUAUAGUCUCUCUUAACAGCUGGUGGCAAUAAUGCUCUGGGGGAUAGUAACUCGCAAUAAAAAUGAUAUCAUCAGCGAAGCCCACAUGCUCUCCUCUUCCCAGUCUGCAAAUGGAUUUCUGUGGGGAAGUUAAAUCUGUGCAGGCAAAUUCAUAACCACAAAUAUCCGGAGACCUAAACCGAUUGCAUCUACGUUGCAUGGUGCCUUCAAUCUCUGUACCGAAAGGUUUCGCUAUGGAGUUAUUCCCGAGUGUAGCUAGGUGCUGGCCAUGUACAGGAGGAUCUACCUGGAGCCAAACGAACAGCAGUCUGUCAUCAGUGAUCCAGGACACAGUGAGGGCAUCCACCUUCAUUUCUCAGCUUUUGUAUCAUCCACCCCAACCAGUUUUGGGGAGUAGUAAAGUACAUGUAAUUAAACUAGUAGUUUAACUACAUUUUACAGUAGCUUACUGGUAUUUCAGUCACAUUCAUAUUUCUAUUGUGAUUCAAGUAGUUCAAUUACAUUUUGCCGUUUUUUUUUUUUUUUGUGUAGUUGACUACUAAAACCACAAACAAUUUUGGGACAUAAAAGGAAUGAUUUGUAAUUUAUAUUUGACCAUUGCUUCUCUACUGUAAUUGAACCCCCUUUGACCAGCCCCAUCAUCCAGACCAAUGUGAAGGCAUGCCCAGGCAAUGCAUUCGUCUGGUACCCACCACCAUACACUUAAGUAAUCCUGCUUGAUUCAAUACCCCCACCUGGACUCUAGUUUCUUGAAGACAGGUGUCUGACUGACAGACAUACAAAACCAAAACUGACAUUCCUUGCACUUUCCCAUAGUUGGGUAUUUUAGUUUUUUUGGUUUAUGUAUGACCUGCGAAAAAGUGGACACUUUGUGUGUGGCAUUUUUGCUGGCAUGUGACUUUUUUUGUUAUGUUUUGUUAUAAUUGUAUAUCAUAUGUACAUUGUCAAUUUGAUCAUUUUUUAAAGAAGUAGUUUGAACUACUUUUUGUAAGUAGCUUUAGUUAACAAAACUAAAUUUCUCCAUAGAGUAGGUUCAACUUCUUCCAUUAUGAAGUGGUUGGUAGCUUGCAAAGCUAUGCUAUCAAAGUAGCUUCCUCAACACUUACCCCAGCAUGCACCUAGGUGCAAACUACAGCGGGUCUUUAUAUAUACUGUAUAUUGUCCUCCAUCUACAAUUCAAAGUCUGCAAAAUGAUAUGUGCAUACAGCAAAAAUUCAUAAUGUUGUGCCAAUAGACCUAUAUUGGGGAUUUAUUCUUUACCAUUUUACUAUUGUGGAUUAGUCAUGUGAUUUGACUUGCAUAAUGUCUAGGAUCCACUUUGUAUGUUCUGUCUUUUUCUUUUCAUUUUUAUGUUUGGAUUGAGUUCUGUGACAUCAAUUAAAAGAAGAUAUUGGUUGAAAUUGUGUUGUAUUACUGCGCUUACGGAAAUGCAAAAGCCAACUGAGUUUUAGAUAGCCUGCUGUACAACAGGCUUAGAGCAUUGAUUACUGACUUCUUGAAUAUGUUUAAUGAUUGUGAGGAGCUAAUUUGUAGAUUGUUGUCUGAUAGAAUUUGAGUUUGAUUACUUUAGAUCCUUGUUUAUUUUGACGAGUAUUUUCAUUUCUUAAUUAUUUAUUUAGUUUAUUUUUCUUUUUAGUUUGUUUAGUUUAUUUUGAUUAGUUUAUUGUUUGUUUUGUUUUUGUAAGAGCAGGGUAACACUAUGGUUAAUAACAUAACUAUUUCAUGUUGUAUAAAUAGGUAGGCAGGAAUAGGACCAGCAUGCAUUGGAGGAGGGCCCAUGUUUUUUUUUUACCAGAGCAAGAGAGCCAGCAGGAGCAAGGAUUCUUUGUUCUUUUGUUUGCUUGCUUGCAUUGCAUAAAUA
Long non-coding RNA from Myxocyprinus asiaticus (Chinese sucker), 3347 nucleotides. RefSeq lists it as uncharacterized. The transcript has 4 exons. Lineage: Eukaryota; Metazoa; Chordata; Actinopteri; Cypriniformes; Catostomidae. The record is from RefSeq and is a predicted model, not a curated record.